This is a long non-coding RNA of Bos taurus (domestic cattle), 364 nucleotides long. NCBI's taxonomy places the organism in Eukaryota, Metazoa, Chordata, Mammalia, Artiodactyla, Bovidae. The record is from Ensembl.
GGCUUAUACUCAGGGAAAAUGGGGAUAUCCAUUUAGAGAAAGGGCUGUGCACCACCUCAUCCAUGACGGCCACCUCAUCAGCAAGAAGAGCCAAUACAGUGGCUCCAUCACGCAAGGACUGGCCAUGCUGCACUCCCGGCUCCCAGAGCCCAGGACCUGGACUGUGCUGAGAGCAGGUGACUGGCAUUAAAGCUGUGUAAGUGCUUUUACCAGACUGACUGCUCUGGGCUCCUGGGGCUCCUGAUUGUAGUAAAAUAACCCCGUUUCUGGAGUGGGGCCUUGCUCCCUCCACCUCUCCACAGGAUGAUCUCACCACAGAGGGAAUGCUGGAGGAUCCUGGGCUCUCUCACUCAGUUAAUUCCAG